UUUUGUGACGUUUUUUUUGUCUUCGGCUGUUUUUUCUCCGGCUGUUCGUGCACACACAUUUUUUAAAUUGAGGCAAGUCGAAGUUCGGUAGUCAAAGUCAUUGCCCCUCUGUCAGUGAUUGGUCAACAGUACUACUUCUAGUAGGAGUGGGAACGUGAAGUGUUUGUUGUCGUUCAACAAGAGGCGGUCCAGGCAGGAAGACAACAGAUGCAGUCCAAACACACCCUAUCCCAUCAGCCCUCAAAUGAAGUUGGCUGAGGGGAUAGGGAUGGACCACCCUGGCCCGGGAAUUCGUCACUCGCUCAUCCCGUGAUGAUUGUGUUUUCAGCCACUGGUAGCUUGUGGGUGCUUUAUAUGCGAACCGGCUCAAUUUGUCGGGGCAUGGACUCCACAAGGUGUCAACAGCUUUCCACAGGGAUGCUGGCCCAUGUUGACUCCAAGGCUUCCCACAGUUCUGUCUAGUUGGCUGGAUGUCUUUCGGGUGGUGGACAAUUUGUGAUACACAUGCGAAACUGUUGAAUGUGAAAACCCCAGCAGCGUGACACACUUAAACCGGUGCGCCUGGCACCUACUACCAUACCCGUUCAUAGGCACUUAAAUCUUUUAUCUUUCCCAUUCACCCUCUGAAUGGCACACAUC
Oncorhynchus mykiss (rainbow trout) is the source of this 639-nucleotide non-coding RNA. Lineage: Eukaryota; Metazoa; Chordata; Actinopteri; Salmoniformes; Salmonidae. The record is from RefSeq and is a predicted model, not a curated record.